UUUUUUUUUUUAAGAUUUUACUUAUUCAUGAGAGAUACAGAGAGAGAGAGGCAGAGACAUAGGCAGAGGGAGAAGCAGGCUCCAUGCAGGGAGCCCAAUGUGGGACUUGAUCCCAGGACUCCAGGAUCAUGUCCUGAGCUGAAGGCAGACACUUAACCACUGAGCCACCCAGACAUCCCCAGAAUAAAUUCUUUAAACCACUGUUUUAUAUGUUCUAAACAUUUUCUGGAUCAAGAAAAUCACGUUUUCAAUUACAAACAUUAAAAUUUCUUAGUGUCAACAAUGUGUUGUGCACAUACUCUAGUCUCCUCUUCUCACCCUAAAUCCCCUAAAUGCUGGGGGAGAAAAUACACACACACACACACACACACACACACACAUUUAAAGUCAGGAAGAGAAGUCUUUACGGGAACUGACCCCAAGAGAAGUCUCUGAGAAUCACAAAUAGAUUGGACUAUGAUGGAGUACUAGCUUCUAAAAGAUGUCCACCUCCUAAUCCCAGAACUUGUGAAUAUGCUAUUACAUGGAAAAGGAAUUCAAGGUGAAAAUGGAAUAAAAUUUCCCAAUCCACUGACCUUAAAUAAGAGGGUUGUCCUGGAUUAUUCAAAUGGAAUCAAUGUAAUCACAAGGGUCCUUAAAAACAAAAAAAGGGAGACAGAAGAGGAGGUCAGAGUGCUGUGAUGUGAGAACUUGAGUUGUCAUGAGGAAGAGAUCAUCUGCCAAGAAAGGCAGGUAGCAUUUAGAAACUCAAAAAGGCAAGUAAAUAGAUUCUCCCCUUGAGCCUACAGAAGGAAUGCAGCUUUGCCAACAUCUUUAUAUAAGCCCAACAAGGCCUAUGUUGGAAUACUAAUUUACAGAAUUGUAAGAUACCAGAUGUGUUUUUUAAGCCACUAAAUUUGUGGUAAUUUGCUACAACAGCAAUAUAAAAUUAAUACAGACUAGUUUGUUCCAUCUUUCUGAUGAAUAGGCUGUGAAAAGAGAUCAACAAGCAGUUUGACAUGGAGCUUCAACCACAAUUUGGGUUGUACAAUCAAAAAGUAUGACACUUACAAAACAAGCACCAGAAUAGAAAGGAACCAAACUCAAGAUAGAAGUUAACACCCAAGGAAACAGAGGUAAAAGGAUAGAAUAGCCAUUGGUAAUAGAUAGAUAUCCUUAGAGAGAGAUAAGAAUCUUAAAAGAGAAUGGAGCAGGAAUCAUGGAAAUUAAAAACCUAAUAACUAAGAUGGAAAACACUUUGUGUGAGUUGAAUUGCAGAGUGGCAAUGCUGAUGAUGUGAGAAUUAGUGAGAUAGACGACCAAAGCACAGCACAUGAGCCCAAAGUGAUGAAAUACAUAAAAGAAAUCCUAAAAGAUAUGGAAGACAGAUCCACUGUCUGAAUUACCAGAGGAUAGACUAUCCUCUGAAAAAUAAACUGACUCCCUAACAAAAAAAAGCAAUAAAGAGAAUGCAAGAAGCAAUACUUUGCAAAAAAAGGUAGGAAAAUUCAGUGCUAAAUUCCAAUAAAUAUUGAUGACAAAAAUUUUAAUAACAACGUGGAAUUAAAAUUGCCAACAAUCACAAGGGAAAUUAGUAGACAGUGGGGGAGAUGGACAGAGUGAACAAAAAGCAUGCUAUGAUCCUUGCCUGACUGGGGAGAAUCUACAGAUAGAUACCAACUAAUUGAAGAUAUUAGAAAAAUGCAACUUUAAGUACGUAUAUUAUAAAAUUAAGAAUAGUUACUUGAAAAUACAAAUAAAAGAGAUAAAUUCCAAUCAUUUGGUGGUGGGGAAAAGCUCAGAAUGAAGAAAUCCAUCUAGCUCUUUACUGAAGGGAUAACAUGUAAUGAUUGAUUAGGAUUUUUUAUAUUGUAAGAAUGGCUUGUUAUUAUUAGCAAAUCUAUGAUGAUAAUACAUCAAUAGAUAAACUAAGAAAAACAGAUGAGCAUCUCCACAGAUGCUAAAAAUUCACUCGCUAGAUUCCAGCAUUCACCUUUGACUAAAAAUACGACUUUAAAUAAAGUAGAUAUUGAAAAGAUACUUUGAAAGCUUCAUAUAAAAUAUAUAAAGUGUCUAACUUAAAUAUCACACUCCCAAGGCAUUUCUGUUAAAUUCAAUGUCAAGAAUGUCCACUAUUAUUUAACAUUGUUCUAGAAGUUCUAGCCAUUAUAAUUAAGAUGUAGGAGGGGAAUGAGAGACAGAAAUAUUGGAAUGCAGAAAAUAAAAUUAUCACUAUUUUUAGAUUAUAUGAUUGUUAGUGUGGGAGAUCCAAGAGAAGUAAGGGAAAAACUGUUAGGACCAGUAAAAGAGUACAAUAAAGUGGUCAGCACAAAAUUUUUGAAAAAGAAAUCUAAUCAUCGAAAAUUACUGGGUUGUCAAGCAAAUUAUAAUUAUCUCCAUAUAAGUAAAUAUUACAGUGUGGCCUUUAAAAAUAGUGAAAACCUAAUUCCAUGGGAAACUGUACACUAUGUGUAAGUGACAAAAAGUUUAUUUUUUGAAUGUACAGCAAUAAAUAUGUAUAGAUAUACGUGGGAAAAUUAAGAUACAUAUCAAGAUACUAAGUAAUUAUCUCUACCUGGUAAGAUUAUAAGGGAGUUUUAUUUUCCUCUUAGCUGUUAUCUGUAUUCUUCAAAUUUCUAGAUUCAAAAUUAAGAAGAUCACAUUAUUGGGGUGCCUGGGUGCUCAAUCACUUAAACAUCUGACUCUUGAUUUCAGCUCAGGUCCUGAUUUCAGAGUCAUGAGACAGAGCCCUCCCAUUGGGCUCUACACUAGAUGUGAAGCCUGCUUAAGAUUCUCUCUUUUUCCCUCUGCCCCUCCCCCUACUCGUGCUUGCUGUCUAUAAAAAAGCAAUUAAUUAAUUAAAAAAUAACAAUAAAUAUUUAAACGAAGAGCACAUUAUGAGCUUAAAAAAUAAAAAUCAAUAGUUAAUAAUAUGAAUUAUGUCCAAUAUCACAUAAAAUAAAAAUGCUCCCUAUGUUUACUGCAGCAUUAUUUACAAAAGUCAAGAUUAUAGAAGCAACUCAAGUGUCUAUCCAUAGGUGAAUGGAGAAAGAAGAUGUGGUAUAGCUAUACAAUAGAAUGUUACUCAACCAUAAUUAUUACUUGCCAUUUGCAACAACAGGCACAGACCUAUAAUGCUAAGUGAAGUUAAGUCAGAGAACGACAAAUACCAUAUGAUUUCACUUAUAUGUGGAAUUCAAAAAGCAAAAUAAAUCAAUAAACAAAAAAAAGUAGAAAACAGACCCAUAAAUACAGAGAACAACCUGGAGGUUGCCGAAGGGAGAAGGGUUGAGAAGAUGGGCAAAAUGGGUAAAGGGGAGUGGGAGGUACAGGCUUCCAGUUAUGGAAUGAAUAGGUCAAGGUGAUAAAAGGUAUAUCAAAGGGAAUAUAGUCAAUGUUAUUGUAAUAGUGUCAUAUGGUGACAGAUGGUAACAACACUUGUGGUGAGCACAGCAUAACAUUUAGACUUGUUGAAUCAUUAUGUUGUGAACUGAUACUAACGUAUUAAAACUAAUGUAACAUUGCAUGUCAACCAUACUUGAAUUUUUAAAAAUGCAUAUUAAAAUAAAACAGGACAUAGCAUCUAGAUAAAUCAUGUUUUUGGAUUGGAUCUCAGUUUAGACAGACCCAGCAAAGAAGUUACUUGAAUAAUAAGGGGAGAAGGAAUUUUAAGAUGGACCCACCAGGGGGCUCUGGGUAGCUCAGUAGUUGACUGUCUGCCUUUGGCUCAGGUGGUGAUCCCAGAUCCUGGGAUCAAGUCCUGUAUCAGUCUCCCUCUGCCUAUGUCUCUGCC
Molecule: long non-coding RNA, 3772 nt
Filed under: Canis lupus familiaris (dog)
Lineage: Eukaryota; Metazoa; Chordata; Mammalia; Carnivora; Canidae
Description: lncRNA (ENSCAFG00000055781.1)
Source: RNAcentral